UACGGAGGGCGCAAACGUUGCUCGGAAUCAUUGGGCGUAAAGCGCACGUAGGCGGCCCAGUAAGUCGGAUGUGAAAGCCCUCGGCUUAACCGAGGAAGUGCAUUCGAAACUGCUAGGCUUGAGUAUGGGAGAGGGUUGCGGAAUUCCCGGUGUAGAGGUGAAAUUCGUAGAUAUCGGGAGGAACACCAGAGGCGAAGGAGGCAGCCGGGACCAAUACUGACGCUGAGGUGCGAAAGCGUGGGGAGCAAACAGG
RNAcentral lists this ribosomal RNA (253 nucleotides) under uncultured bacterium. RNAcentral describes it as "partial 16S ribosomal RNA". It matches the Rfam family "Bacterial small subunit ribosomal RNA", at positions 524 to 776 of the family's 1533-position model. The record is from RNAcentral.